Eubacterium ventriosum ATCC 27560 is the source of this 73-nucleotide non-coding RNA. The record is from Rfam. Lineage: Bacteria; Bacillati; Bacillota; Clostridia; Eubacteriales; Eubacteriaceae.
GGGGGCGUAGCUCAGUUGGGAGAGCACCUGCCUUGCAAGCAGGGGGUCAAGAGUUCGAAUCUCUCCGUCUCCA